This 1466-nucleotide ribosomal RNA is filed under the name Vibrio cholerae HC-59B1. RNAcentral describes it as "bacterial LSU rRNA". It matches the Rfam family "Bacterial large subunit ribosomal RNA", at positions 1 to 1530 of the family's 2925-position model. The record is from RNAcentral. Lineage: Bacteria; Pseudomonadati; Pseudomonadota; Gammaproteobacteria; Vibrionales; Vibrionaceae.
UUAAGUGACUAAGCGUACACGGUGGAUGCCUGGGCAGUCAGAGGCGAUGAAGGACGUACUAACUUGCGAUAAGCGCAGAUAAGGCAGUAAGAGCCGUUUGAGUCUGCGAUUUCCGAAUGGGGAAACCCAACUGCAUAAGCAGUUACUGUUAACUGAAUACAUAGGUUAACAGAGCAAACCGGGGGAACUGAAACAUCUAAGUACCCCGAGGAGAAGAAAUCAACCGAGAUUCCGGUAGUAGCGGCGAGCGAACCUGGAUUAGCCCUUAAGCACUCGGUGAAGUAGGUGAACAAGCUGGAAAGCUUGGCGAUACAGGGUGAUAGCCCCGUAACCGACGCUUCAUCGAGCGUGAAAUCGAGUAGGGCGGGACACGUGAUAUCCUGUCUGAAUAUGGGGGGACCAUCCUCCAAGGCUAAAUACUCCUGACUGACCGAUAGUGAACCAGUACCGUGAGGGAAAGGCGAAAAGAACCCCUGUGAGGGGAGUGAAAUAGAACCUGAAACCGUGUACGUACAAGCAGUAGGAGCACCUUCGUGGUGUGACUGCGUACCUUUUGUAUAAUGGGUCAGCGACUUAUAUUCAGUGGCAAGGUUAACCGUAUAGGGGAGCCGUAGCGAAAGCGAGUCUUAACUGGGCGCUCAGUCUCUGGAUAUAGACCCGAAACCGGGUGAUCUAGCCAUGGGCAGGUUGAAGGUUGAGUAACAUCAACUGGAGGACCGAACCGACUAAUGUUGAAAAAUUAGCGGAUGACUUGUGGCUAGGGGUGAAAGGCCAAUCAAACUCGGAGAUAGCUGGUUCUCCCCGAAAGCUAUUUAGGUAGCGCCUCGGACGAAUACUACUGGGGGUAGAGCACUGUUAAGGCUAGGGGGUCAUCCCGACUUACCAACCCUUUGCAAACUCCGAAUACCAGUAAGUACUAUCCGGGAGACACACGGCGGGUGCUAACGUCCGUCGUGGAGAGGGAAACAACCCAGACCGCCAGCUAAGGUCCCAAAGUAUUGCUAAGUGGGAAACGAUGUGGGAAGGCUCAGACAGCUAGGAUGUUGGCUUAGAAGCAGCCAUCAUUUAAAGAAAGCGUAAUAGCUCACUAGUCGAGUCGGCCUGCGCGGAAGAUGUAACGGGGCUAAGCAAUACACCGAAGCUGCGGCAAUGUCUUUUAGAUAUUGGGUAGGGGAGCGUUCUGUAAGCCGUUGAAGGUGAAUCGUAAGGUUUGCUGGAGGUAUCAGAAGUGCGAAUGCUGACAUGAGUAACGACAAAGGGGGUGAAAAACCUCCUCGCCGGAAGACCAAGGGUUCCUGUCCAACGUUAAUCGGGGCAGGGUGAGUCGACCCCUAAGGUGAGGCCGAAAGGCGUAAUCGAUGGGAAACGGGUUAAUAUUCCCGUACUUCUGACUAUUGCGAUGGGGGGACGGAGAAGGCUAGGUGGGCCAGGCGACGGUUGUCCUGGUUCAAGUGCGUAGGCUUGAG